GACGAACGCUGGCGGCGUGGCUUAACACAUGCAAGUCACGGGGGGCCCGCAAGGGUCAACCGGCGAACGGGUGCGUAACACGUGAGCGACCUGCCCAAUUGCGGGGGAUAGCCGGCCCAACGGCCGGGUAAUACCGCAUACGCUUCCCUGGGGGCAUUCUUGGGGAAGGAAACCUACGGGGCGAUUGGAGGGGCUCGCGGCCUAUCAGCUAGUUGGCGAGGUAACGGCUCACCAAGGCGAUGACGGGUAGCUGGUCUGAGAGGAUGGCCAGCCACAUUGGGACUGAGAGACGGCCCAGACUCCUACGGAGGCAGCAGUGGGGAAUCUUGCGCAAUGGCCGAAAGGCUGACGCAGCGACGCCGCGUGGAGGAUGACGCCCUU
RNAcentral lists this ribosomal RNA (381 nucleotides) under uncultured bacterium. RNAcentral's name for it is "bacterial SSU rRNA". It matches the Rfam family "Bacterial small subunit ribosomal RNA", at positions 28 to 418 of the family's 1533-position model. The record is from RNAcentral.